Molecule: ribosomal RNA, 253 nt
Filed under: uncultured bacterium
Lineage: Bacteria
Description: partial 16S ribosomal RNA
Rfam family: Bacterial small subunit ribosomal RNA
Source: RNAcentral
UACGUAGGGACCAAGCGUUGUUCGGAUUUACUGGGCGUAAAGGGCGCGUAGGCGGCUUGUCAAGUCACCUGUGAAAUCUCUGGGCUUAACCCAGAACGGCCAAGUGAAACUGACAUGCUAGAGUGCAGAAGGGGCAAUCGGAAUUCUUGGUGUAGCGGUGAAAUGCGUAGAUAUCAAGAGGAACACCUGAGGUGAAGACGGGUUGCUGGGCUGACACUGACGCUGAGGCGCGAAAGCCAGGGGAGCAAACGGG